Molecule: ribosomal RNA, 303 nt
Filed under: uncultured bacterium
Lineage: Bacteria
Description: partial 16S ribosomal RNA
Rfam family: Bacterial small subunit ribosomal RNA
Source: RNAcentral
AGCAGUCGCCACGGGAAUACGUAGGGUGCAAGCGUUAAUCGGAAUUACUGGGCGUAAAGCGUGCGCAGGCGGUUUGUUAGGACAGAUGUGAAAUCCCCGGGCUCAACCUGGGAACUGUAUUUGUGACUGGCAAGCUAGAGUGUGGCAGAGGGGGGUGGAAUUCCGCGUGUAGCAGUGAAAUGCGUAGAGAUCGGGAGGAACAUCAGUGGCGAAGGCGGCCAUCUGGGACAACACUGACGCUGAGGCACAAAAGCGUGGGGAGCAAACAGGAUUAGAUACCCCGGUAGUCCCUGUCUCUUAUAU